AAAAAAUGUGACCACAUUGAAUAGAGACCCAAGAAAACUAAUUAUUAGAGGAAAGGGGGGGAAAAAAGAGGACAAAUGGCCACCUGACAAGAUGAACAGGAGGGAAUUCCCUGCCUGGUGUGAAAAAUUCUUCUUUUAGCACACAGUGUGCUGUGGCUGACAACUGUGUGUCUACAGGUGAAGUUUCCAAGCUCCAUCAGGUCGAUGGGAGACGCCUGUGCAGCCAUUUUCAGAUCUCUCCAGAAACGUUCAAUCUGAGUCAAAUCUGAACUCUGGCUUGGUCACUCCAGGACAUUCACAGAGUGGUUCUGAAGCCACUCCUUUGAGAUUUCAGCCAUUUGCUUUGGGUGUUGUCCUACUGAAAAAUUAACCAGCACCUCAGUCUGAGGUCAGGAGCACACUGGAGAAAAUUUUACUACAGGAUAAAUCUGUACAUUGCUGCAUUCAUUUGUCCUUCUGGUCUGACUAGUCUUCAAGUUACUGCUGAUGCGGAAC
This is a long non-coding RNA of Gambusia affinis (western mosquitofish), 495 nucleotides long. RefSeq lists it as uncharacterized. The transcript has 3 exons. Lineage: Eukaryota; Metazoa; Chordata; Actinopteri; Cyprinodontiformes; Poeciliidae. The record is from RefSeq and is a predicted model, not a curated record.